This 497-nucleotide ribosomal RNA is filed under the name uncultured bacterium. RNAcentral describes it as "partial 16S ribosomal RNA". It matches the Rfam family "Bacterial small subunit ribosomal RNA", at positions 28 to 507 of the family's 1533-position model. The record is from RNAcentral.
GACGAACGCUGGCGGCGUGCCUAAUACAUGCAAGUAGAACGCUGAAGAGAGGAGCUUGCUCUUCUUGGAUGAGUUGCGAACGGGUGAGUAACGCGUAGGUAACCUGCCUUGUAGCGGGGGAUAACUAUUGGAAACGAUAGCUAAUACCGCAUAACAAUGGAUGACCCAUGUCAUUUAUUUGAAAGGGGCAAAUGCUCCACUACAAGAUGGACCUGCGUUGUAUUAGCUAGUAGGUGAGGUAACGGCUCACCUAGGCGACGAUACAUAGCCGACCUGGGAGGGUGAUCGGCCACACUGGGACUGAGACACGGCCCAGACUCCUACGGGAGGCAGCAGGAGGGAAUCUUCGGCAAUGGGGGCAACCCUGACCGAGCAACGCCGCGUGAGUGAAGAAGGGUUUCGGAUCGUAAAGCUCUGUUGUAAGUCAAGAACGAGUGUGAGAGUGGAAAGUUCACACUGUGACGGUAGCUUACCAGAAAGGGACGGCUAACUACGUG